AUGUUUUACGAAUUCACAAAUGUUUUGCAACGCAAGUAUUUGAAAAUUAGUAAUAACUACAUGCAACUAAAAAUCCAAAAAAAAGUUAGUAACGGCGCACCAGGAGAAGGUGCGCCAUUGCUAUCACGGUGUUUAUGCCGCACCCCUAAAAGAUGCUCCAUUGCUAACUCUCCCCCCACUAAAACAGGCAAAGAUAAAAAAAAACUUCGAUCCCAAAUCCCCAAUCCCCACUGCUGCCCCCGAGCCCUCAACCUGCUGCUCCCGACCUGCACCGCCGCCCCGACCGACUGCGCUGCCGCCCCUACCUGCGCCGCCGCCCAGACCCACUACGCAACCGCCCAGUGUUCCUCUUCAUCGUCAUCGUCCCUCGGCCAAGGCUGA
Molecule: ribosomal RNA, 381 nt
Filed under: Triticum aestivum (bread wheat)
Lineage: Eukaryota; Viridiplantae; Streptophyta; Magnoliopsida; Poales; Poaceae
Description: partial small subunit ribosomal RNA
Source: RNAcentral